UUCUUGGAGAGUUUGAUCCUGGCUCAGGACGAACGCUGGCGGCGUGCCUAAUACAUGCAAGUCGAGCGGACUUGAGGGAGCUUGCUCCCGAUAGUCAGCGGCGGACGGGUGAGUAACACGUGGGCAACCUGCCUGUAAGACUGGGAUAACUUCGGGAAACCGGAGCUAAUACCGGAUAAUCCUUUCCCUCUCAUGAGGGAAAGCUGAAAGACGGUUUCGGCUGUCACUUACAGAUGGGCCCGCGGCGCAUUAGCUAGUUGGUGAGGUAACGGCUCACCAAGGCGACGAUGCGUAGCCGACCUGAGAGGGUGAUCGGCCACACUGGGACUGAGACACGGCCCAGACUCCUACGGGAGGCAGCAGUAGGGAAUCUUCCGCAAUGGACGAAAGUCUGACGGAGCAACGCCGCGUGAGCGAAGAAGGCCUUCGGGUCGUAAAGCUCUGUUGUUAGGGAAGAACAAGUACCGGAGUAACUGCCGGUACCUUGACGGUACCUAACCAGAAAGCCACGGCUAACUACGUGCCAGCAGCCGCGGUAAUACGUAGGUGGCAAGCGUU
RNAcentral lists this ribosomal RNA (558 nucleotides) under Bacillus sp. DNRA2. RNAcentral's name for it is "Bacterial small subunit ribosomal RNA". It matches the Rfam family "Bacterial small subunit ribosomal RNA", at positions 1 to 542 of the family's 1533-position model. Lineage: Bacteria; Bacillati; Bacillota; Bacilli; Caryophanales; Bacillaceae. The record is from Rfam by way of RNAcentral.